CACGUAGGGCGCGAGCGUUGUCCGGAAUUAUUGGGCGUAAAGAGCUCGUAGGCGGUCUGUUGCGUCCGCUGUGAAAACCCAGGGCUUAACCCUGGGCUUGCAGUGGAUACGGGCAGACUAGAGGCAGGUAGGGGAGAAUGGAAUUCCCGGUGUAGCGGUGAAAUGCGCAGAUAUCGGGAGGAACACCGGUGGCGAAGGCGGUUCUCUGGGCCUGACCUGACGCUGAGGAGCGAAAGCGUGGGGAGCGAACAGG
RNAcentral lists this ribosomal RNA (253 nucleotides) under uncultured bacterium. RNAcentral's name for it is "partial 16S ribosomal RNA". It matches the Rfam family "Bacterial small subunit ribosomal RNA", at positions 524 to 776 of the family's 1533-position model. The record is from RNAcentral.